CGUACUUGUACUGAUUGAGAUUUUAACACGAAGUGAGUGGCGAACGGGUGAGUAACACGUGGGUAACCUGCCCAGAAGUAGGGGAUAACACCUGGAAACAGAUGCUAAUACCGUAUAACAGAGAAAACCGCAUGGUUUUCUUUUAAAAGAUGGCUCUGCUAUCACUUCUGGAUGGACCCGCGGCGUAUUAGCUAGUUGGUGAGGUAAAGGCUCACCAAGGCAGUGAUACGUAGCCGACCUGAGAGGGUAAUCGGCCACAUUGGGACUGAGACACGGCCCAGACUCCUACGGGAGGCAGCAGUAGGGAAUCUUCCACAAUGGACGCAAGUCUGAUGGAGCAACGCCGCGUGAGUGAAGAAGGGUUUCGGCUCGUAAAGCUCUGUUGUUAAAGAAGAACGUGGGUAAGAGUAACUG
This 414-nucleotide ribosomal RNA is filed under the name Pediococcus pentosaceus. RNAcentral's name for it is "bacterial SSU rRNA". It matches the Rfam family "Bacterial small subunit ribosomal RNA", at positions 63 to 467 of the family's 1533-position model. Lineage: Bacteria; Bacillati; Bacillota; Bacilli; Lactobacillales; Lactobacillaceae. The record is from RNAcentral.